RNAcentral lists this ribosomal RNA (468 nucleotides) under uncultured bacterium. Its description in RNAcentral is "partial 16S ribosomal RNA". It matches the Rfam family "Bacterial small subunit ribosomal RNA", at positions 28 to 507 of the family's 1533-position model. The record is from RNAcentral.
GACGAACGCUGGCGGCGUGCUUAACACAUGCAAGUCGAACGGAAAGGCCCUGCUUUUGUGGGGUGCUCGAGUGGCGAACGGGUGAGUAACACGUGAGUAACCUGCCCUUGACUUUGGGAUAACUUCAGGAAACUGGGGCUAAUACCGGAUAGGAGCUCCUGCUGCAUGGUGGGGGUUGGAAAGUGUCGGCGGUUGGGGCUGGACUCGCGGCUUAUCAGCUGGUUGGUGGGGUAGUGGCUUCCCAAGGGUUUGACGGCUACCCGGCCUGGGAGGGUGACCGGCCACAUUGGGCCUGAGAUACGGCCCAGACGCCUACGGGAGGCAGCAGUGGGGAAUAUUGCACAAUGGGCGGAAGCCUGAUGCAGCAACGCCGCGUGCGGGAUGACGGCCUUCGGGUUGUAAACCGAUUUCGCCUGUGACGAAGCGUGAGUGACGGUAAUGGGUAAAGAAGCACCGGCUAACUACGUG